RNAcentral lists this ribosomal RNA (516 nucleotides) under uncultured Cortinarius. RNAcentral's name for it is "eukaryotic LSU rRNA". The stretch from base 103 to 256 matches the Rfam family "5.8S ribosomal RNA". Lineage: Eukaryota; Fungi; Basidiomycota; Agaricomycetes; Agaricales; Cortinariaceae. The record is from RNAcentral.
UUUUUGUCUUUCCUUACAUUUCCAGGUCUAUGUUUUCUUCAUAUACACCAUCUAUGUUAUAGAAUGUAAUGAAACGGGCCUUUGUGCCUACAAACCUUAUACAACUUUCAGCAACGGAUCUCUUGGCUCUCGCAUCGAUGAAGAACGCAGCGAAAUGCGAUAAGUAAUGUGAAUUGCAGAAUUCAGUGAAUCAUCGAAUCUUUGAACGCACCUUGCGCUCCUUGGUAUUCCGAGGAGCAUGCCUGUUUGAGUGUCAUUAAUAUAUCAACCUCCUCAGGUUUUUACUUGUNGAGUGUUUGGAUGUGGGGGUUGUCUUUUGCUGGUCUCUUUCUGAGGUCGGCUCCCCUAAAAUGCAUUAGCGGAACAAUUUGUUGACCCCNUUCNUNGUGGNNAUAACUAUCUACGCUNUUGACGGUGAAGCAGGUUCAGCUUCUAACAGUCCAUUGACUUGGACAAGUUUUCAUUAAUGUGACCUCNAAUCAGGUAGGACUACCCGCUGAACUUAAGCAUAUCAUA